Molecule: transfer RNA, 57 nt
Filed under: Otolemur garnettii (small-eared galago)
Lineage: Eukaryota; Metazoa; Chordata; Mammalia; Primates; Galagidae
Source: Rfam by way of RNAcentral
AGCUCAGUGGACAGAGCACUGGCUUUGCGGACCAGGGACAGUGAGUUCAAACCUCAC